GAUGAACGCUGGCGGCGUGCCUAAUACAUGCAAGUCGAGCGAACGGACGAGAAGCUUGCUUUUCUGAUGUUAGCGGCGGACGGGUGAGUAACACGUGGAUAACCUACCUAUAAGACUGGGAUAACUUCGGGAAACCGGAGCUAAUACCGGAUAAUAUUUUGAACCGCAUGGUUCAAAAGUGAAAGACGGUCUUGCUGUCACUUAUAGAUGGAUCCGCGCUGCAUUAGCUAGUUGGUAAGGUGACGGCUUACCAAGGCAACGAUGCAUAGCCGACCUGAGAGGGUGAUCGGCCACACUGGAACUGAGACACGGUCCAGACUCCUACGGGAGGCAGCAGUAGGGAAUCUUACGCAAUGGGCGAAAGCCUGACGGAGCAAAGCCGCGUGAGUGAUGAAGGUCUUCGGAUCGUAAAACUCUGUUAUUAGGGAAGAACAUAUGUGUAAGUAACUGUGCACAUCUUGACGGUACCUAAUCAGAAAGCCACGGCUAACUACGUG
This 497-nucleotide ribosomal RNA is filed under the name uncultured bacterium. RNAcentral describes it as "partial 16S ribosomal RNA". It matches the Rfam family "Bacterial small subunit ribosomal RNA", at positions 28 to 507 of the family's 1533-position model. The record is from RNAcentral.